RNAcentral lists this long non-coding RNA (1640 nucleotides) under Gallus gallus (chicken). RNAcentral describes it as "lncRNA (ENSGALG00010019369.1)". Lineage: Eukaryota; Metazoa; Chordata; Aves; Galliformes; Phasianidae. The record is from RNAcentral.
AUUUAAGGGCUGACUGCCAUUGGGGAAGGUUCUCUUUCUGGAGGCUUCUCCUUUGUGGAGCUUUUUUUGUCAUGAGUCUGACUCUUCAGUUAUAGGCUCUCAGCAGCUGUGGAGCUUCACUGAGGUAAGCAUGUGACUUCUCACACACCUGAAGCCUUUCAGUCAGCAGCUGAAGAGCCCAAACUUGAUGCUGACAGCUACUCUCUGACCAGGUUCCCCAACACCCUCGCACAAUGAGCAGCCGUUGCACAGCCUUAAAAACAGGUGGGAUCGGUCCCUUCAGACAUGCAAGAAACUAUCCCGUUUUCCGGAGUAGUAUUUUCCACACAUGAAUGCGUUUCCAGGUGCUUCAGAGGAUUCUAACACAAGAGAUCAUCUGGGGAAAUCCUCAUUUCAAUCACUGCAGGACGGAAGCUGUGCCAGAUCUCCUUCGGCCUUCAACGUGAGCAGGUUCAAGACCCUGCUCAUUAAAAACUAGUUGGAAAAAAAUCAGUAAGGAGAAACUUUAAAACAAACAAACUCAAUCCUUGCAGUUGAUGUUGCUAGUAAGUGAAAUAUAAUUUUGGCCUGGGUGAAGGCGGGGGGGGGGUAUUUUGUUUUCAGUAACUGAAACAGUGGGUUUUGGUAUGCUCCCUAUUCCUUUCUUUGACUGGGAAUGAUUUUACUGAAAUACAGGAAAGUCUGUGUUGUUUUCAAAGGAAAAAGAUUCAAUUUCCUGAGCAGCCCUAUAAAUGGUUGCAGAUCCUGAUCUGGGCUAGGGGACUGCCCCUUGGACUAGUCCAGGCAGAGAAUGGAGCCAUCUUCCUGACAAGUUCCCUGAAAUCUUGGCGGAUGAUUUGUGCACUUGCAAAUCAAACAGGUCACACCUCCCUACUCCCAGAUCUUUGUGUACCUACAAGUGAAACCAAGAACAGGUUUCCCUUGCAAAUAUUACUCUUACUCCUAACUUCUCUAACUGUAAUAGCAGGAGAAAGAAGAGGUUAACAGGUUAGAACAUAUCAGAAAUGACCUUUAAGAAGUCACCAUUAGAGCCCUGAUACCAUGCUGCUGAAGCCAGGAGGAGCCCAGUUCAGUGGGCUGAAGUCUGAAGCAUGAAAGUCAUCAACAGCAACGUUAAAUUGCACUGUGCUCAAAAGGCAGAGACUUUGUUAAGUCUAGGGGAAAGUGAAGGGGAAGGACGUGGAAGAAAUUAUUUGUUUAUGAGCAAGGAAUGGACACUGUUUUCAACUCUGUAUUGCUUGAAUCUGUGUACUCAUAUAAAAGAAAAUCUUAAGGUUAAAAUAAGUAUCUGUAAGUGUCUGCUGGCAUGUGUGGCCUCUGGCAGCUGGUGAUCGUGGAGCUUUAAGUCCAUUCCCAGUUUCUAGGCACAUAUUUCCCUUUUAAACCUCUUGUACACUGUGCUGACAAUGGCAGAAGCACUGAAAACUCCUAAGGGUUAGGGUGAAUCCCAAUGGCACACAGUUACUAAGCUGGCUUUAAUGACACUAUUUCUGUCAACUACUUUGAUUUUCUAUUAGUAAACGGAGUCUCCAUUUUGCUGUUUAAACAGCAAAGAAAAAGCUGUCCUCUGUGCCAGCUGGUUAGUAUUUCAACAAUUAAGACUGUGUGUUUAGCUCCUUUACUAAACUUGAUCAGAGUAA